AGCAGCCGCGGUAAUUCCAGCUCCAAUAGCGUAUAUUAAAGUUGUUGCAGUUAAAAAGCUCGUAGUUGAACUUCGGGGUUUACUCAUUGGUCAGGCUUAAUUGUCUGUACUGGUGAGAUGAAUCUCUACCUUCUGAGGAACUUUCAUGCCAUUUAUUUGGUGUGGUUGGAAAUCAGGACUGUUACUUUGAAAAAAUUAGAGUGUUUAAAGCAGGCUAACGUCUGAAUACAUUAGCAUGGAAUAAUGAAAUAGGACGGAUUGAUUCUAUUUCGUUGGUUUCUAGGGUCACCGUAAUGAUUAAUAGGGAUAGUUGGGGGCAUUAGUAUUCAAUUGUCAGAGGUGAAAUUCUUGGAUUUAUUGAAGACUAACUACUGCGAAAGCAUUUGCCAAGGAUGUUUUCAUUAAUCAAGAACGAAAGUUAGGGGAUCGAAGACGAUCAGAUACCGUCGUAGUCUUAACCAUAAACUAUGCCGACUAGGGAUCGGACGAAGUUAAUUAAUAAUGACGCGUUCGGCACCUU
RNAcentral lists this non-coding RNA (520 nucleotides) under uncultured Glomus. Its description in RNAcentral is "SSU rRNA". It matches the Rfam family "Eukaryotic small subunit ribosomal RNA", at positions 569 to 1089 of the family's 1831-position model. Lineage: Eukaryota; Fungi; Glomeromycota; Glomeromycetes; Glomerales; Glomeraceae. RNAcentral also lists the same sequence under 1 other name. The record is from RNAcentral.